UACGUGGGGUGCAAGCGUUGUUCGGAAUUACUGGGCGUAAAGCGCGUGUAGGCGGUUCGCUAAGUUCGAUGUGAAAGCCCUGGGCUUAACCCAGGAACUGCAUUGAAAACUGGCAGACUUGAGUCCGGGAGAGGGAUGCAGAAUUCCAGGUGUAGCGGUGAAAUGCGUAGAUAUCUGGAGGAAUACCGGUGGCGAAGGCGGCAUCCUGGACCGGCAUUGACGCUGAGGAGCGAAAGCCAGGGGAGCAAACGGG
RNAcentral lists this ribosomal RNA (253 nucleotides) under uncultured bacterium. RNAcentral's name for it is "partial 16S ribosomal RNA". It matches the Rfam family "Bacterial small subunit ribosomal RNA", at positions 524 to 776 of the family's 1533-position model. The record is from RNAcentral.